This 474-nucleotide ribosomal RNA is filed under the name Craugastor campbelli. RNAcentral describes it as "partial 12S ribosomal RNA". It matches the Rfam family "Bacterial small subunit ribosomal RNA", at positions 780 to 1493 of the family's 1533-position model. Lineage: Eukaryota; Metazoa; Chordata; Amphibia; Anura; Craugastoridae. The record is from RNAcentral.
AGAUACCCCACUAUGCUCAGCCGUAAACUUUAAAUUACAUUAAAAUCGCCAGGAAACUACAAGCAAUGCUCAAAACCCAAAGGACUUGACGGUACCUUACACCCCCCUAGAGGAGCCUGUCCUAUAAUCGAUAACCCCCGUUAAACCUCACCCCCUCUGGCUUAUCAGCCUGUAUACUUCCGUCGUCAGCCCACCACGUGAGCGUCCUUAGUAAGCUCUAUCGCUCAAUUCGCACAAACGUCAGGUCAAAGUGCAGCAAAUGAGGGGGGAAGAGAUGGGCUACAUUCUCUAAAGUAGAGUAAACGAACGACUGCAUAUGAAACCCAGUCUAAAGGCGGAUUUAGAAGUAAAGAGGAAAUAGAGAGUUCUCUUUAACUUGGCACUGAGGUGUGUACACACCGCCCGUCACCCUCCUCACAGCCAUUAAAAAGUAAUUAACAACUUAUAGCAUAAAAGAGGAGGCAAGUCGUAACA